UCCGUAGGUGGCAAGCGUUGUCCGGAUUUAUUGGGUUUAAAGGGUGCGUAGGCGGUUCUGUAAGUCAGUGGUGAAAUACUCUAGCUUAACUAGAGGGGUGCCAAUGAUACUGCAGAACUUGAGUACAGAUGAGGUAGGCGGAAUUGACGGUGUAGCGGUGAAAUGCAUAGAUAUCGUCAAGAACACCGAUAGCGAAGGCAGCUUACUGGGCUGUAACUGACGCUGAUGCACGAAAGUGUGGGGAUCAAACAGG
RNAcentral lists this ribosomal RNA (253 nucleotides) under uncultured bacterium. RNAcentral's name for it is "partial 16S ribosomal RNA". It matches the Rfam family "Bacterial small subunit ribosomal RNA", at positions 524 to 776 of the family's 1533-position model. The record is from RNAcentral.